Molecule: transfer RNA, 90 nt
Filed under: Gammaproteobacteria bacterium
Lineage: Bacteria; Pseudomonadati; Pseudomonadota; Gammaproteobacteria
Description: tRNA-Ser
Rfam family: tRNA
About the family: Transfer RNA (tRNA) molecules are approximately 80 nucleotides in length. Their secondary structure includes four short double-helical elements and three loops (D, anti-codon, and T loops).
Source: RNAcentral
GGAGGGAUGGCAGAGCGGUUGAAUGCACUGGUCUUGAAAACCAGCGAGGGUGAAAGCCCUCCGAGAGUUCGAAUCUCUCUCCCUCCGCCA